RNAcentral lists this ribosomal RNA (253 nucleotides) under uncultured bacterium. RNAcentral's name for it is "partial 16S ribosomal RNA". It matches the Rfam family "Bacterial small subunit ribosomal RNA", at positions 524 to 776 of the family's 1533-position model. The record is from RNAcentral.
UACGUAGGGUGCAAGCGUUAAUCGGAAUUACUGGGCGUAAAGCGUGCGCAGGCGGUUGGGCAAGACAGGUGUGAAAUCCCCGGGCUUAACCUGGGAACUGCACUUGUGACUGCAUAGCUGGAGUACGGCAGAGGGGGAUGGAAUUCCGCGUGUAGCAGUGAAAUGCGUAGAUAUGCGGAGGAACACCGAUGGCGAAGGCAGUCCCCUGGGCCUGUACUGACGCUCAUGCACGAAAGCGUGGGGAGCAAACAGG